RNAcentral lists this ribosomal RNA (253 nucleotides) under uncultured bacterium. RNAcentral's name for it is "partial 16S ribosomal RNA". It matches the Rfam family "Bacterial small subunit ribosomal RNA", at positions 524 to 776 of the family's 1533-position model. The record is from RNAcentral.
UACGUAGGGACCAAGCGUUGUUCGGAUUUACUGGGCGUAAAGGGCGCGUAGGCGGCGCGGUAAGUCACUUGUGAAAUCUCUGAGCUUAACUCAGAACGGCCAAGUGAUACUGCAGUGCUAGAGUGCAGAAGGGGCAACUGGAAUUCUCGGUGUAGCGGUGAAAUGCGUAGAUAUCGAGAGGAACACCUGCGGCGAAGGCGGGUUGCUGGGCUGACACUGACGCUGAGGCGCGAAAGCUAGGGGAGCGAACGGG